Chrysemys picta bellii (western painted turtle) is the source of this 1250-nucleotide non-coding RNA. The record is from RefSeq and is a predicted model, not a curated record. NCBI's taxonomy places the organism in Eukaryota, Metazoa, Chordata, Testudines, Emydidae.
AUAGAUAUAUAUACACACACCACAUUCUCCAUUGUCUACACAAAUAUAUUCCAAAUAUAUUGGUUUGCUCCUUGUGCUGUCUCUUCAGGUAUCCAUUUCUGUGAUUUUUGUGUCAUCUGCUGAUGAAAGCCUUGCAAGCCACCUCUUCACAUACAGUACUGGGUUGAAAGAAUACACAGGACUGGUCCAAGCAAGCUAAUGAACAUCAGUUGUGCAAGCUGAGGGAAUCUCUGUAUCUACUGGCCAGUUACUCAUACCUAAGACUUGUAUCUGAUCGAUCGGCUCAUUGAAGUUGGAGGCAGUAUGUUGAUUAUGCCUGCCAGGAAGGAUAGAGCAAUUUGAGACCACAGUGGUAAGUAACAGAGAUCUAAGAUUGCUGGCUAAGCUAAGGCAAAAAUGUUGCUGGCUGAUUGUUUGUGGAUGGAUGCAUUUUUCAACAGUGGUACUGACUUGAAAACCUGUUCAGCAACAGCUUGCUAUGGUUUUGGAUAUAUAUGGGGGAGCUUCUUGUUUCAUCUUCCCAAUUGCCCAAACAGUUCUAUUGACCACUGGAUACACUCAAGCUAAAGUAGGUGUUCCGCCACUUCAGUUACCUCCUCUAGACUAUCCAUCAAAAGUCCCAAUUUUAAAACAAACUCUUCAGAGGCCAAUGACCUAGUAAGCCCCUGGAAAGUCUCUUGGGUCUUGGCAUCAUAUGAUUGAUCUUCAGACACAAAUGUGAAAUGUGUGUGAAGAGCUGUAUAAUUUUCCCACACCGCCACUACCACGCUAAAAGUGGAAGCCACCCAACACACCCUCCGAAUUUUUCUGACUUUAAGUUGUACAGCAAAUUUGGAGGCACAAGAACUAAGUUCCCAUUGGUUUUUGAGAGACUGGCUAUAAACUGAGUGCACCGAGUCCAUUACAAUUUUGAAGUGAUUUAUUCGUCCAACUUCCUCAAUGGUAUUCCCAAUGCUAAAUUCAUUUCUGUGACACAGACAGUACCACUGGAUAAGAUUUGUAGUUCUUGGCUAAACUAGUCAGCACUCCACUUUAUGUCUCAACCAUGACACUAGCACCGUCACUACAUACAUUGAUAAAGUUCCCAAUCAAAUAUUCAUUGCACAAACCAUGUUUUACUAAACAAGCAUUGAUUGCCAUAACAUUCAUCCCUGCAUCACUUCCUUCUCAUUCCAUUAAGUAAAAAAAAUAAUAAUGAAACAGCCUUGCAAUGAUUAACUGUACGUAUAUAGAAAAUCAACAUCAAUUUU